This 279-nucleotide ribosomal RNA is filed under the name uncultured Proteiniphilum sp. RNAcentral describes it as "partial 16S ribosomal RNA". It matches the Rfam family "Bacterial small subunit ribosomal RNA", at positions 1109 to 1382 of the family's 1533-position model. The record is from RNAcentral. Lineage: Bacteria; Pseudomonadati; Bacteroidota; Bacteroidia; Bacteroidales; Dysgonomonadaceae.
CAUUAGUUACCAUCAGGUAAGGCUGGGGACGUCUAAUGAGACUGCCAUCGUAAGAUGUGAGGAAGGUGGGGGAGUGACGUCAAAUCAGCACGGCCCUUACGUCCGGGGCGGACACACGUGUUACAAUGGGUGGGUACAAAGGGCAGCUACCUGGCGACAGGAUGCUAAUCUCCAAAACCACUCUCAGUUCGGAUCGGAGUCUGCAACUCGACUCCGUGAAGCUGGAUUCGCUAGUAAUCGCGCAUCAGCCACGGCGCGGUGAAUACGUUCCCGGGCCUU